RNAcentral lists this ribosomal RNA (266 nucleotides) under uncultured bacterium. RNAcentral's name for it is "partial 16S ribosomal RNA". It matches the Rfam family "Bacterial small subunit ribosomal RNA", at positions 57 to 305 of the family's 1533-position model. The record is from RNAcentral.
GCAAGUCGAACGAGAAAGGGCUUGCUUGCAUUCCUGAGUAGAGUGGCGCACGGGUGAGUAACACGUAGAUAAUCUACCUUCAAGCCUGGAAUAACUAUUCGAAAGGAUAGCUAAUACCGGAUAAAGUAUUUGGUCAUAAGAUCAAUUAUGAAAGAUUGCCUCUUCAUGAAAGCAAUUGUUUGGGGACGAGUUUGCGGACCAUUAGUUAGUUGGUGGGGUAACGGCCUACCAAGACAACGAUGGUUAGCUGGUCUGAGAGGAUGAUC